GUGCUAUCUAGGUGUGACAGAAGAAGUGCAAAGACUAAGCAGGAAGUGUCCCUUUUGUAAGUUCUUAUCAAGAUAUAUACUGCUUUUUUACUGCUUACAAAUAUACCUAAAACAGCCAAUAAGCCACUUGUACAAAAGUACUGUUGGUCACUCUUAUUGACAAGUUAUUAAUAAGAUCAGACAUCACAAGAAGUCAUCAGACACUUGGCACACCAGAAGAAAAUCUAUCUACUUAUCUAUUAUGAUAACGAUAAUGAGAGUACGUCAUCAUCGCCAGAGGACACGUGGCCUUUCAACCCUUUGGAGCAGUCAGAAGUCACAUCCUGCUUUUCUAGCCGUCUCAAAAGAGCCUGUGAAACGUCCUUUUACAGUCGCCUUUGUCACCUCUGACCUCGCUGAAAAGAGGUUGAAACAACAAAGACCAAGAAGAAACAGAAGGAUAAUGGAUGAGACCCUGGAUGUGACCUUGAUGAUGCGCAGACACUGCUGAUGUCAAGGCUGCCCCCUGCUCGACAAAGUGGACCAAAGAGGGGAGGGGGCACUGCUGUGACCGCCCCUCCACAGGAAAUGAAGUCCGAAGAUUUUGACCCACGAGCUGCAGAAGUGGGCCUCGACUGGUGAGAUCUGUUAGACCGGAGCCCUUGACAGCCCAAGACUCGUCGUGUUGUUGAGAUAAAACCGAAAACCAUCGCCCGCGUUCAUCAGGAGUGUCGGCACGGCAACGGAAAAGCACGUCCACAGACGGAAGCGGAUAUGGAAGCCGUCCUCACUGCGGAUCUCAAAGAUGAUGCCCUUCUUGGGUUUGCCGUCUUUGCUGCCGCCAUCCUCAAGACCAAUGGUAGAACCUUUGUUUUCUUUUGCCGCCUUUCCUGUUAGAUCUUCUGAAC
This is a non-coding RNA of Nerophis lumbriciformis (worm pipefish), 887 nucleotides long. The record is from RefSeq and is a predicted model, not a curated record. NCBI's taxonomy places the organism in Eukaryota, Metazoa, Chordata, Actinopteri, Syngnathiformes, Syngnathidae.